CAGUCGCCGCGGUAAUACAGAGGGUGCGAGCGUUAAUCGGAUUUACUGGGCGUAAAGCGUGCGUAGGCGGCUUCUUAAGUCGGAUGUGAAAUCCCUGAGCUUAACUUAGGAAUUGCAUUCGAUACUGGGAAGCUAGAGUAUGGGAGAGGAUGGUAGAAUUCCAGGUGUAGCGGUGAAAUGCGUAGAGAUCUGGAGGAAUACCGAUGGCGAAGGCAGCCAUCUGGCCUAAUACUGACGCUGAGGUACGAAAGCAUGGGGAGCAAACAGGAUUAGAUACCCCUGUAGUCCCUGUCUCUUAUAU
RNAcentral lists this ribosomal RNA (301 nucleotides) under uncultured bacterium. Its description in RNAcentral is "partial 16S ribosomal RNA". It matches the Rfam family "Bacterial small subunit ribosomal RNA", at positions 509 to 809 of the family's 1533-position model. The record is from RNAcentral.